RNAcentral lists this unclassified non-coding RNA (237 nucleotides) under uncultured fungus. RNAcentral describes it as "partial contains 18S rRNA, ITS1, 5.8S rRNA". Lineage: Eukaryota; Fungi. The record is from RNAcentral.
GCGGAAGGAUCAUUACAGAGCGUGAGACUCUGUCCGGGCUUCGCCCGCGUGCAGAGUUGACCCUCCACCCGUGUUGACUUAUCUCAUGUUGCUUUGGCGGGCCAGGUGCCUUGCGCCUGCCGGCUUCGCGCUGGCUCGCGUCCGCCAAAGACCCAACCUAACUCGUGUUGUCGUGUAGUCUGAGGAAUAACUAUUGAAUUGUUAAAACUUUCAACAACGGAUCUCUUGGCUCUGGCA